Molecule: ribosomal RNA, 255 nt
Filed under: Pseudomonas sp. EA_R_85
Lineage: Bacteria; Pseudomonadati; Pseudomonadota; Gammaproteobacteria; Pseudomonadales; Pseudomonadaceae
Description: partial 16S ribosomal RNA
Rfam family: Bacterial small subunit ribosomal RNA
Source: RNAcentral
UCGAAAGGGGGGGGGCCUACACAUGCAAGUCGAGCGGUAGAGAGGUGCUUGCACCUCUUGAGAGCGGCGGACGGGUGAGUAAUGCCUAGGAAUCUGCCUGGUAGUGGGGGAUAACGCUCGGAAACGGACGCUAAUACCGCAUACGUCCUACGGGAGAAAGCAGGGGACCUUCGGGCCUUGCGCUAUCAGAUGAGCCUAGGUCGGAUUACCUAGUUGGUGAGGUAAUGGCUCACCAAGGCGACGAUCCGUAACUGG